RNAcentral lists this ribosomal RNA (253 nucleotides) under uncultured bacterium. Its description in RNAcentral is "partial 16S ribosomal RNA". It matches the Rfam family "Bacterial small subunit ribosomal RNA", at positions 524 to 776 of the family's 1533-position model. The record is from RNAcentral.
GACAGAGGGGGCAAGCGUUGCUCGGAAUCACUGGGCGUAAAGGGCGCGUAGGCGGGAUGGCAAGUCGGUCGUGAAAUCCUUCGGCUCAACCGAAGAACGUCGGCCGAUACUGCCGUUCUUGAGGGAUGCAGAGGAGAUUGGAAUUCCCGGUGUAGCGGUGAAAUGUGUAGAGAUCGGGAGGAACACCGGUGGCGAAGGCGGUUCUCUGGGCCUGACCUGACGCUGAGGAGCGAAAGCGUGGGGAGCGAACAGG